This 578-nucleotide ribosomal RNA is filed under the name Aspergillus flavus. Its description in RNAcentral is "eukaryotic LSU rRNA". The stretch from base 219 to 372 matches the Rfam family "5.8S ribosomal RNA". Lineage: Eukaryota; Fungi; Ascomycota; Eurotiomycetes; Eurotiales; Aspergillaceae. The record is from RNAcentral.
AAGGUUUCCGUAGGUGAACCUGCGGAAGGAUCAUUACCGAGUGUAGGGUUCCUAGCGAGCCCAACCUCCCACCCGUGUUUACUGUACCUUAGUUGCUUCGGCGGGCCCGCCAUUCAUGGCCGCCGGGGGCUCUCAGCCCCGGGCCCGCGCCCGCCGGAGACACCACGAACUCUGUCUGAUCUAGUGAAGUCUGAGUUGAUUGUAUCGCAAUCAGUUAAAACUUUCAACAAUGGAUCUCUUGGUUCCGGCAUCGAUGAAGAACGCAGCGAAAUGCGAUAACUAGUGUGAAUUGCAGAAUUCCGUGAAUCAUCGAGUCUUUGAACGCACAUUGCGCCCCCUGGUAUUCCGGGGGGCAUGCCUGUCCGAGCGUCAUUGCUGCCCAUCAAGCACGGCUUGUGUGUUGGGUCGUCGUCCCCUCUCCGGGGGGGACGGGCCCCAAAGGCAGCGGCGGCACCGCGUCCGAUCCUCGAGCGUAUGGGGCUUUGUCACCCGCUCUGUAGGCCCGGCCGGCGCUUGCCGAACGCAAAUCAAUCUUUUUCCAGGUUGACCUCGGAUCAGGUAGGGAUACCCGCUGAACU